AUUGAACGCUGGCGGCAUGCCUUACACAUGCAAGUCGAACGGCAGCACGGGAGCAAUCCUGGUGGCGAGUGGCGAACGGGUGAGUAAUAUAUCGGAACGUGCCCAGUCGUGGGGAUAACGUAGCGAAAGCUACGCUAAUACCGCAUACGAUCUAUGGAUGAAAGCGGGGGAUCGCAAGACCUCGCGCGAUUGGAGCGGCCGAUAUCAGAUUAGGUAGUUGGUGAGGUAAAGGCUCACCAAGCCGACGAUCUGUAGCUGGUCUGAGAGGACGACCAGCCACACUGGGACUGAGACACGGCCCAGACUCCUACGGGAGGCAGCAGUGGGGAAUUUUGGACAAUGGGCGCAAGCCUGAUCCAGCAAUGCCGCGUGCAGGAUGAAGGCCUUCGGUUGUAACUAGCUUU
Molecule: ribosomal RNA, 404 nt
Filed under: uncultured bacterium
Lineage: Bacteria
Description: bacterial SSU rRNA
Rfam family: Bacterial small subunit ribosomal RNA
Source: RNAcentral